GAUUAAGUUAUUAAGGGCGCACGGUGGAUGCCUUGGCACUAGAAGCCGAUGAAGGACGUUACUAACGACGAUAUGCUUUGGGGAGCUGUAAGUAAGCUUUGAUCCAGAGAUUUCCGAAUGGGGAAACCCAGCAUGAGUUAUGUCAUGUUAUCGAUAUGUGAAUACAUAGCAUAUC
This 175-nucleotide ribosomal RNA is filed under the name Staphylococcus aureus. RNAcentral describes it as "partial 23S ribosomal RNA". It matches the Rfam family "Bacterial large subunit ribosomal RNA", at positions 1 to 175 of the family's 2925-position model. RNAcentral also lists the same sequence under 1 other name. The record is from RNAcentral. Lineage: Bacteria; Bacillati; Bacillota; Bacilli; Caryophanales; Staphylococcaceae.